AGAGUUUGAUCCUGGCUCAGGACGAACGCUGGCGGCGUGCCUAACACAUGCAAGUCGAACGGGGUGAGGCCCUUCGGGACCUUUACCUAGUGGCGAACGGGUGAGUAACGCGUGAGGAACCUGCCUUUCAGUGGGGGACAACAGUUGGAAACGACUGCUAAUACCGCAUAAAGCUUUUGGGAGACAUCUCCUGAAAGCCAAAGCUUAAUGUGCUGAAAGAUGGCCUCGCGUCUGAUUAGCUAGUUGGUGGGGUAACGGCCCACCAAGGCGACGAUCAGUAGCCGGUCUGAGAGGAUGAACGGCCACAUUGGGACUGAGAUACGGCCCAGACUCCUACGGGAGGCAGCAGUGGGGAAUAUUGGGCAAUGGGCGAAAGCCUGACCCAGCAACGCCGCGUGAAGGAAGAAGGCCUUCGGGUUGUAAACUUCUUUUACCAGGGACGAAGGACGUGACGGUACCUGGAGAAAAAGCAACGGCUAACUACGUGCCAGCAGCCGCGGUAAUACGUAGGUUGCAAGCGUUGUCCGGAUUUACUGGGUGUAAAGGGCGUGUAGGCGGAGAUGCAAGUUAGGAGUGAAAUCUAUGGGCUCAACCCAUAAACUGCUUCUAAAACUGUAUCCCUUGAGUAUCGGAGAGGCAAGCGGAAUUCCUAGUGUAGCGGUGAAAUGCGUAGAUAUUAGGAGGAACACCAGUGGCGAAGGCGGCUUGCUGGACGACAACUGACGCUGAGGCGCGAAAGCGUGGGGAGCAAACAGGAUUAGAUACCCUGGUAGUCCACGCUGUAAACGAUGAAUACUAGGUGUGGGGGGACUGACCCCCUCCGUGCCGCAGUUAACACAAUAAGUAUUCCACCUGGGGAGUACGACCGCAAGGUUGAAACUCAAAGGAAUUGACGGGGGCCCGCACAAGCAGUGGAUUAUGUGGUUUAAUUCGACGCAACGCGAAGAACCUUACCAGGACUUGACAUCCAACUAACGAAGUAGAGAUACAUCAGGUGCCCUUCGGGGAAAGUUGAGACAGGUGGUGCAUGGUUGUCGUCAGCUCGUGUCGUGAGAUGUUGGGUUAAGUCCCGCAACGAGCGCAACCCCUAUUGUUAGUUGCUACGAAAGAGCACUCUAGCGAGACUGCCGUUGACAAAACGGAGGAAGGCGGGGACGACGUCAAAUCAUCAUGCCCCUUAUGUCCUGGGCUACACACGUAAUACAAUGGUGGCCAACAGAGGGAAGCGAAGCCGUGAGGCGGAGCAAAUCCCUAAAAGCCAUCUCAGUUCGGAUUGCAGGCUGCAACUCGCCUGCAUGAAGCUGGAAUUGCUAGUAAUCGCGGAUCAGCAUGCCGCGGUGAAUACGUUCCCGGGCCUUGUACACACCGCCCGUCAAGCCAUGAAAGCCGGGGGCGCCUGAAGUCCGUGACCGCAAGGAUCGGCCUAGGGCGAAACUGGUAAUUGGGGCUAAGUCGUAACAAGGUA
RNAcentral lists this ribosomal RNA (1465 nucleotides) under metagenome. RNAcentral describes it as "bacterial SSU rRNA". It matches the Rfam family "Bacterial small subunit ribosomal RNA". The record is from RNAcentral.